Molecule: transfer RNA, 65 nt
Filed under: Pseudoligosita yasumatsui
Lineage: Eukaryota; Metazoa; Arthropoda; Insecta; Hymenoptera; Trichogrammatidae
Description: tRNA-Tyr
Source: RNAcentral
AGUAAUAUGUCUGAUUUAAGUAAUAAACUGUAAAUUUAUUUAAAGAUUUAAUUAUCUUAUUACUA